This 71-nucleotide transfer RNA is filed under the name Marmota monax (woodchuck). RNAcentral's name for it is "tRNA.Ala". The record is from RNAcentral. Lineage: Eukaryota; Metazoa; Chordata; Mammalia; Rodentia; Sciuridae.
GGGGUUGUGGCUCAGUGGUAAAGCACUUACCUAGCACAUGCAAGGGACUGGGUUUGAUCCUCAGCACCACA